GGAAUUUCUCCACCAAAUGUCACAAAAACUGUACCUGGAUUAUGGGUUUCUGAAGAAACACACUUCUCAUGGAAAAAUGCAGAAGUCAAAGGAGAAAAUCCAACCCCACAAGCACAUUUCAAGCCUUAUAAUAUCCCUUGACCAAAGCAAGUCCCAGGACCACCCCCAACGUCAAGGAGCCAGGAAAAACAGAGGAAGUACAGUCUGUCCACCUGGAAGCCAUUGGAAGAAUGUAGAUGUAUGAUAAUAUUGAUUUGAUAAGAUUUACAAGAAAGAGAUUAACUUAAAUACUACAAAAGCAUAAUGCAUCCAAUGAACUCAGACUUUUCAUUUCGAAAAAGAGAAAUAUCCCUUCCAAAUGACUCUGAAAAUUUUAGAAAAUUAUGAUAGUAUAAACAGUGCCUGUGAACAGUACAGUAGAAGCAAUGGACAGGUGGGAGGCAAGCUGGAACAACUGAAGCCUGGAGGACGAAGAAGAAGGCCAUACUUCUUAUAGCCCAGCAUUUAAAUAAUGUGAAAGAAGGAGAGCGGUAAGGAGGUAUUCUCUGUGGAGAUGGUGCAUAGAGGUUGAAUAUAUGAGAGAAAAUGUAGUCCAAAAGAGCAAAACUAAGAGUAAAGAGAAUGUGGUGAGACCAGGAGGAGGGAUCAGAGACUUAGCCCUGAUUGGAAUCUGGGACUCUCCUGAUGGGAACUUUCACUGAGUCUUUUGUGUCCUGUCAACAUAUCUUUAUUGGAACAAAUUUCCCACUUCAGUGUAACCAGAACUAAGUUAGUGUCUAUGUACAGGGAAAUGUUUCAGUCAAAGAUCCCAGAUAGGAGGUUGACUACUGUACAGGAAUGCUGUAUAAUAGAAGUAUGAAGAAAUUUGAAGGUUUAAUGAAAAAGGUGUCUGGAUUCAAGAUACAAAUGGUAAGUAUAGUAGUGUAUCAGCAUGGCUGAGUUGCUUCAGAAAACUUUAAUGCAGGAAUCAGUCAGGGAACCUGGUCCUGGAAGUUGGAUACCCAAAGAAAGGAGUUGAGUGCAGAAACUUCCUAUCAGAAAAUCCAGGGAAUCUUUUGGAGCAGUGGUGGAGGCAGCUGUUUAACCUGAAGCCAGCAAGUAGUAUUAGCUCAUAAACAAAAUUAACAAAUAAAAUAGCUUGCAUCUGUAUUGACCAAGGGAGCAGAAAGAAGUCACAGCGAGAUUGAGAGGAAAUUAUCUGUAUGGAGUAUAUGAACUUAGAUCCCAACCCAGUUAGCCUUGUGAGCUCUGCUCCUAGUGACUCUGCAGGGGCAACUUCACGUGAAAUAUGAUGGAAAAAGGUCAGAAGUCCAGGGGACACGGUCCUAAGCAAGAAAUAUAUAGGAUGUAUACGAUAUGGGUGCAGUGGCAAGAUAGAGUAAGAUCUUUAGAGCGUAUGUAAGAAUGUUCCUGAGAGCCAGAUUUGUUCACAACAGAUCAAGGAGAUUUUUCUGGAGCUCAAAUGCUAAAAACUCCCUGGGUCCAGGGGUGUCUGCCUGGAAUUCCCUAAUUUUGUAGGCAUAUAUCAUAUGAUAGGACAAGGGAUGAGAUGGUAGGGUAAACAGUAAAUUGAGAAUAUGAGGAUGAGCUCCUGUCUUUGGAAAUCCCAGAAGUUACAAGACAGCAACACAACCACACAAGCAGCCUUAAUAGGAAGAGAUAUGAAGAGAAACUUGAAAUUUUAAUCAUGAUUCUUCCAAAAUUUUGCAACAAUUGGUACUAUAUGCCCCUGUUCAUUCGGAAAUCACAGAAAAUUCUCUUAUCUGGGCCAUCACUCAUCUAAGUCCCUCCCCACACGCCAAAGUCUUACCUUUUGGCUUCUUCAUCCAUGGCUCUUAUAAUCUAACAGUGGAGAGCUGGGGCCAUGGACACUUCUCGGCCUCUGAACUCUUCUAUAUUGUGAGAUUCCUACUUUGAGAAUGCACAAGUGCCCUCACCUGCCUCUUUGUUCAGAAAGCUGCAGUAUCACCACUGCACCUUCCUUUGUGAACUUCUGGCAACUGAUGAUGUUAAGCUCAAAGUAGCAUCUGGAUAAUUGUUCAGAGAAAUGCCUAAUUUCCUUGGGUUCAGCAUAUUGGACUAAGGAGGAAAGUCUGAAGGUAUUACUUUGGUCUGGGAGUAACUGGAACCCAAAAGGUCC
This is a long non-coding RNA of Equus asinus (donkey), 2140 nucleotides long. The record is from Ensembl. NCBI's taxonomy places the organism in Eukaryota, Metazoa, Chordata, Mammalia, Perissodactyla, Equidae.